CGGCGGACGGGUGAGUAAUGCCUAGGAAUCUGCCUGGUAGUGGGGGACAACGUUUCGAAAGGAACGCUAAUACCGCAUACGUCCUACGGGAGAAAGCAGGGGACCUUCGGGCCUUGCGCUAUCAGAUGAGCCUAGGUCGGAUUAGCUAGUUGGUGAGGUAAUGGCUCACCAGGGCGACGAUCCGUAACUGGUCUGAGAGGAUGAUCAGUCACACUGGAACUGAGACACGGUCCAGACUCCUACGGGAGGCAGCAGCU
RNAcentral lists this ribosomal RNA (257 nucleotides) under uncultured Pseudomonas sp. Its description in RNAcentral is "partial 16S ribosomal RNA". It matches the Rfam family "Bacterial small subunit ribosomal RNA", at positions 96 to 355 of the family's 1533-position model. Lineage: Bacteria; Pseudomonadati; Pseudomonadota; Gammaproteobacteria; Pseudomonadales; Pseudomonadaceae. The record is from RNAcentral.